Molecule: microRNA precursor, 89 nt
Filed under: Canis lupus familiaris (dog)
Lineage: Eukaryota; Metazoa; Chordata; Mammalia; Carnivora; Canidae
Description: mir-8799 microRNA precursor family
Rfam family: mir-8799 microRNA precursor family
Source: Rfam by way of RNAcentral
AGGGGAGACCAGAUCUUUGGCUGUGUCCCCGGCACCGCAUGCUCCUGGGCCUGCGCUGUUGGAUUCGCGCUCCCGCCCCGCAGCCCCCU